GCAUAUCAAUAAGCGGAGGAAAAGAAAAUAACAAUGAUUCCCUUAGUAACGGCGAGUGAAGGGGGAUAAGCUCAAAUUUUAAAUCUGCUAGGUCUUACCUAUCAGAGUUGUAAUUUGAAGAAGCGUUUUCCGCGUCUCGGUUGACCCAAAUCCUUUGGGAUAUGGUAUCAUGGAGGGUGAGAAUCCCGUUCGGUUGACCUUAUGACGCUUUACGAUACGUUUUCUAAGAGUCGAGUUGUUUGGGAUUGCAGCUCAAAAUGGGAGGUAAAUUUCUCCUAAGGCUAAAUAUUGGCGAGAGACCGAUAGCGAACAAGUACCGUGAGGGAAAGAUGAAAAGAACUUUGAAAAGAGAGUAAAAUAGUACGUGAAAUUGUUGAAAGGGAAACGAUUGAAGUCAGUCGUACCGACGGAAAAUCAGCUCUUUAGUGCGGACUUGUGGGCUUACGUGAGUUUUAACACCUCGCUGUUUGCAACGUUCGUGCUUUUUGGGUGUACUUUUUCGUAUGGUAGGCCAAUGUCAGUUUCGAUUGCUAUAAAAUGACCGGCGGAAUGUAGCUUCGAUCUUGUAUUGAAGUGUUAUAGCCUCUGGUAGAUGUGGUGAUCGGGACUGAGGAUUGCAACGAAUACCCUUUUGGGCUAUCCGUCUGACCUCUGAAAGUUGCUUAGGUGCCGAAAGCUUGCUUACGGUUAUUUAAGUUUGCGGUCAAAAGGUUAGAACGUGAUUACAUUCGUUAAGGAUGUUGACGUA
Molecule: ribosomal RNA, 748 nt
Filed under: uncultured Glomerales
Lineage: Eukaryota; Fungi; Glomeromycota; Glomeromycetes; Glomerales; Glomeraceae
Description: LSU rRNA
Rfam family: Eukaryotic large subunit ribosomal RNA
Source: RNAcentral